GGAUACGUCCUUGUUGGAUGAACGUAAUGGCCGUCUUCAGGUUCUGAGCCAUGCGGAGGUUCAGCAUGAUGCUGGGCAGUCGCCUCCUGCAGAAGGACGAGGCCGUGACCUUCUCUGUCAGCGACAGGUUCUGUCUGGUGGGGAUCAGGCCGAUGCUGUACCUGAUCAACCAGAGGAGCAGACAGUGUCGCAUCAGGUUAACACGAGUCACAAUCCACUGAGGCUUCGUGUGGAAAGGUCAGAGGGCAACAACAGAUGUGAUCAAAGUAGGGG
Long non-coding RNA from Xiphophorus hellerii (green swordtail), 273 nucleotides. RefSeq lists it as uncharacterized. NCBI's taxonomy places the organism in Eukaryota, Metazoa, Chordata, Actinopteri, Cyprinodontiformes, Poeciliidae. The record is from RefSeq and is a predicted model, not a curated record. The transcript is spliced from 2 exons.